Molecule: ribosomal RNA, 467 nt
Filed under: uncultured bacterium
Lineage: Bacteria
Description: bacterial SSU rRNA
Rfam family: Bacterial small subunit ribosomal RNA
Source: RNAcentral
UCCAGACUCCUACGGGAGGCAGCAGUGAGGAAUAUUGGUCAAUGGGCUUACGCCUGAACCAGCCAAGUCGCGUGAGGGAAGACUGCCCUAUGGGUUGUAAACCUCUUUUGUCAGGGAGCAACGCCGGCUACGUGUAGCCGGACUGAGAGUACCUGAAGAAAAAGCAUCGGCUAACUCCGUGCCAGCAGCCGCGGUAAUACGGAGGAUGCGAGCGUUAUCCGGAUUUAUUGGGUUUAAAGGGUGCGAAGGCGGAAUGCAAAGUACGCGUUAAAUUCGCGGGGCUCAACCUCGCUCCGCCGUUGAAACUGGCGUUCUUGAGUGGGCGAGAAGUAUGCGGAAUGCGUGGUGUAGCGGUGAAAUGCAUAGAUAUCACGCAGAACUCCGAUUGCGAAGGCAGCAUACCGGCGACCAACUGACGCUGAAGCACGAAAGCGUGGGUAUCGAACAGGAUUAGAUACCCUCGUACA